This 76-nucleotide transfer RNA is filed under the name Kluyveromyces marxianus DMKU3-1042. Its description in RNAcentral is "tRNA-Tyr (CAU)". It matches the Rfam family "tRNA". Rfam says of the family: Transfer RNA (tRNA) molecules are approximately 80 nucleotides in length. Their secondary structure includes four short double-helical elements and three loops (D, anti-codon, and T loops). Further hydrogen bonds mediate the characteristic L-shaped molecular structure. tRNAs have two regions of fundamental functional importance: the anti-codon, which is responsible for specific mRNA codon recognition, and the 3' end, to which the tRNAs corresponding amino acid is attached (by aminoacyl-tRNA synthetases). tRNAs cope with the degeneracy of the genetic code in two manners: having more than one tRNA (with a specific anti-codon) for a particular amino acid; and 'wobble' base-pairing, i.e. permitting non-standard base-pairing at the 3rd anti-codon position. The record is from RNAcentral. Lineage: Eukaryota; Fungi; Ascomycota; Saccharomycetes; Saccharomycetales; Saccharomycetaceae.
CUCUCGGUAGCCAAGUUGGUUUAAGGCGCCAGACUGUAAUUCUGGAGAUCGGGCGUUCGACUCGCCCCCGGGAGAC